GACGAACGCUGGCGGCGUGCUUAACACAUGCAAGUCGAACGGAAAGGCCUCUUUCGGGGGGUACUCGAGUGGCGAACGGGUGAGUAAGUCGUGAGUAGCCUGCCUAUGACUUUGGGAUAACUUCAGUAAACUGGGGCUAAUACCGGAUAGAAGCUCCUGCUACCUGGUGGGGGCUGGAGAGAUUCGGGGUGUUGGGGUUGGUUGGCGGCGUAUCCGCUCGUUUGUGGGGUGUUGGAUUACCAACGUUUUACCGGGUAGACGGACCGAGGGGGUGACCGGCCGUCCUGGGACUGAGAGACGGCCCCGACUCCUACGGGAGGCAGAAGUGGGGAAGAUUGAACAAUGGGUGGAAGCCUGAUGCAGAAACGCCGUGUGCGGGAUGACGGCCUUAGGGGUGUAGACCGCAUUCGCUCGUGACGAAGCUUUGUGUGACGGUAGUGGGUAAAGAAGCACCGGCUAACUACGUG
Molecule: ribosomal RNA, 467 nt
Filed under: uncultured bacterium
Lineage: Bacteria
Description: partial 16S ribosomal RNA
Rfam family: Bacterial small subunit ribosomal RNA
Source: RNAcentral